AAGUGAGUUUUGCCUAUCCCCUUCCAUCAGAAUCACCUGGUGAGCUUGUUAGAGAACAGAUUCUCAGGAACCACACCAGGAUUUCGGAUUUAGAAUUGAUGGUGGUUGAGCCUAGACUCUGUAUUUUUAACAAGCUCCCUAUGUGAUUCUUUUUCAUGCUAAAAUUUGAGAGCAUCUGGCCUCCAGAUCAAGUGCAAACACUUCAGAAUUGCUGAUGAGAAGACUGUGCUCAGAGAUGGUAAGAAACUCAGAAGAGGCACCUGGUGAAUAGGAGAUGUCUGGAACUUGAAUGCAGGGCACUCUUACUGAGCUGUGGAGAAAGGAGCACCAGAAAGGACUGCCUCGAAUGAGCAACGCAUGCAAAAGGAGGACAGACUGCGAAGGAGAGGGAAAAAGAAAAUUUUAUCUCAAACAUGUUUUCCAUAAUAUAUGUUGAUUUUGCAUUUUGUUUGUGUGUUUGAAUAUACACAUAAAGCAGUGGGAACAACAACAAAAAUCUGCCCAUGCUACAUAUUUUUUUAUCUUAUGUAAUAACUAUAAAGAAUUACAAAGAAAUAUCAGUAAUACAAUUCUUUACUUCAGAAAUAAAAACACAUUUGUUAUAUGUCUUUCAAUUUUUCUUAGUAUUUGUGCAUAUGUCCAUAUUUUCCCACAAAUUGCAAUCAUACAGUAUAUACUAUUUUAUAUAUUAUAUUUUCUGGCUGCAUAAUAUUUUGUCAGUUGGACACAGCAUAAUUUAUGUAACAAAUUCAUGUUGUUUCAUAUUUGGUUAUUUCCUAAUUUUCAACAUAAUAAACAAAUACCCUUGCGUGUAAACCCAUGUGUGCAUCUCUUGUUAUUUAGGAUGUAUUUCUAGAAUAGAAUUACUGGGGAAAAGAGAAUAAAUAUUUUAAACAUAUUUAUUCUUAAUGUUCAUAAUGAAAAUAGCUUUAAAUUGUUAUUAAAUAACACUCAUGUUGGAAUUUCAAAUAAUAUUUAAAAGUAAAGAAUUAAAUUGAAAGUCACCCUAAAUUCCAAUACUAUUAUAAUUGUGUUCCAUAAUACAAUUUUC
RNAcentral lists this long non-coding RNA (1051 nucleotides) under Equus asinus (donkey). RNAcentral's name for it is "lncRNA (ENSEASG00005036569.1)". Lineage: Eukaryota; Metazoa; Chordata; Mammalia; Perissodactyla; Equidae. The record is from RNAcentral.